CAGAGACUGUCAAUUCCUUUAACCCAGAAGUCAAUUCCCGUAAAUCCCAAUCUUUCAGUUUCCCUCUGACUGGCAGAUGGGAGGUUAUUAACACGGAAUUCCCCUGUUUGUAGAACCAUUAAGUCUCCGACAAAACAGCCAGUCAGCCAGAGGCUCAGCAGAGAGGACUAGUGGACGGAUGCCGGUCCCUUCGGCUCUCGUGUUGGAGCCUGCAGUAAUUAAACACAUCCAUCAGAUCAUGAUAGUGUUGCCAGGAAUGGCACACUGGGGGAACCAGACAACGAUCCAGGUUACCAUGACAUCCGCGAGGUAACACAAAGAUGUCUCUUGUUUCCUGGUGAUUCACUGACAAACUAUGUGUGUAAUACAGGAGUUUUUAUAACUCUAAAAUUAGUAAUGAAAUGUUUGUGGUUAACAUUUAUGUGCUGAUGCGAACUUUUACUCCAUCUUAGCUAUUACUUUAAAUGUUUUCUGUCCUUCUGUAAGGUCGAGGUAACAUAUCACAAAUUAAAACAAGUGUUGCAAAUCCUAGAUAAAUGUCUUAGAGUUCUGGAUGGCCGAGGAUUUUUGAUAAGCCAACAGGAAUGUAGUAAAGUAUUUUUAAGUUGUCAAAUGCAUUGAACAUGAAGGCCUCUAAACAGGUUGAAGAUUUAAAGAGGCCCUAUUAUGCCUAUUAUGAAUCAUGGAAAGUGAAAGAUAAAAAAGAUGUGCAUUAACCCUAACCCACGGUCAUUUCUUACUUUAACAGUACUGAUCUCUGUGCAGGGCAGGCUCAGAACACAAACUUCAAUAACUGCACCUGUGCACAGUUAGAUAGAGUUGUGGAAAGUGUUUUUUGAAAGUGGUCUGUAGCUACUGAGGACAGGAGGCUAUUGGUAAUUUAAAAAAAACAAACGAUAUUUGAAGACACCAAUUGUGAGGCAGAUGUCGAUGACAGCUGCUGAACAGGUUGAAAGUUGGGAAGAAAUUAUUGGGAAUUGUUGAGUCUGUUUUUGUUGUAUUCUCCGCCUGUUGUGGAUCAUUUAAUGACUAGUGUAUUGUCUCAUUUCAGGUCAUUAGCACAAAGCAUGCAUAGUCCCUGUAACAUGCUGACCAUGAUGAAUCUGUCUCUCCCACUCUUCAGGCAGUCACUGGUUUCCCGAUCCAUUCAGGCUGUAAAUGACAGAACAAAGUUGCCUCAUUUAACAUAUAAUUCAUUUCAUAAUUAAGUUAAAUAAAUAAAUACUUUAUUUCAUAUUAUAUCAAAGGAGUUCAAAUAUAGCAUGGUUUAAAAGGCAGUUUGUGUUAUAUGUUUAACAACAAUGCAUUGUGAUUGUAAGCUUCUGUGGUUUUGGGGCCUCUGAAGCAAUGUUUGUUUCGUUGUGUAUUGGUACUGCGUGUUUUGUUUACGCACUGUGAAGCUCAACGUGGGCAGACGUCUUUAUUGAAGCUGCUGUAGCAGUGUCUGUGGUAUCAGCAGCAGAAGACAUUUUUAAGAUCAGAAUCUCCUUUCAUGACAAGCGGCCAACAAGUUCUCACGGCGUAACGGAAGAGGGAGGCUAAAAGAUUAAGGCCAAGAACAACCGCCCGUUUCAAAGAGCCGACCUGUGUCUGUGUUGUGAAAGGAGCUACACACACACCAUGUAACUUGCUUCAGAGAGCCAAUCCAUCACGAAGACAACACAUUCUCCUCUGCGCUGUAAUUCACUGGAAAAGGAGUAUAUUUCGUGAAACAGGCGUCAACCCUUUAAAAACAAUGUACAGAUUCUAGCUUUAAGGAAGACUUGUCAUUGUAAUGGCUGAAUGGGAGGAAAUCUCUGCAGCUGAAAAUCCAAAAUAUGAAUCCUUUAUUUGCUUCUUUAUUCCCACUGUUUUGGAAUACGUUUAAGGUUAUGUUGUACACACACUUCAGCCACUAGCCUCUUUUGCAGUUUGGUGUCUCAUUUGAUAAAGCAUUUGAGAUGCUCAGGCUGUGCUGAAUGCCUUCUGGUUUGCUUCAUCCACCUCCACAGCAUCCGACUGCGCUCUGUUCUUCCUAUCCCUGACGUGGAAUUGGCAGUGAUCUCGCUCUGUGUUCAUCUGCUGCUCAUCUGCUGCUCAAUAUGUUAUUAUAGGGAGUUAUGGGAUAGAUAUCCAUAAUGCCAUUGACAAAUGGCGUCUCCGAAAGCUUUUUAUAUUAAUGGGGUGACGAGUAAAGUUGUUUAAUUUUCUUUUUAAUUCUCAGUAUUUCCACAUUUUUGUAGUAAACACAUCUGUCCUACUAGAGUAAAUAUUUGUCUUUAGUUUCAAUGGUAUCUUUAACAAACAUCUUCACAGGAUUACAGUGAGUGCCCAGUGCAGCAUUCCAAAGGGGGUGAAAUUAUAUGUAAAAAAUGUCUAGGGACAGGCUUUAUCGCAGCUGUGUUUCAUGUGUUGCAACUUGAAACAAAUAUUUGUGAGGCUCUAUUUAUAAACUCCUUCAUUGCUUGACCUUUGGUACUCACUCUUAUCAUUGUGGAUGCACAAACAAGACUCAGGAGUAAUUAGUGACACACAAACAGGAAGUAAUGUUGUGGCAUCUUUCAGGCAUAAGUGGACACGGAGAAAAUUCAUUGUUUUGGAAAAUAUCUAAACACAAGUAUUUCGAUUUAAAAAUGUAAUAAAAAAACACUUUGAAAAGUAGUUCAGCUCAGUAGCACCACCUAAUGGAGAGUCUUUAAACAUGUGUGCACAAGAAUAGAAGAAGCACAAUAAGAAGUGCACAAUUAAAAUUUGUUAUUAGAAAAUCCUGAAAUUAGUUCUUGUAGAAGAUAUAUAUUUAAAUGAGAUAAACUCAGAUUGACCUCACUUGCUUGCCUUUUUCGUUCCUCUCACCUUCAUAACGCUUGUAAGAAAUCAGUUCCCAGUCUGUAAACAGCAGGCAGAAAUAUGCAAAAUAGAUUUAACUAUGAUGUAAUGUAAUGCUACAAUAUGGGAUGAUGGAAUCAUUAAGUGAAAUGUGUCUGUUUUGUCCAUAUGUGCAGGGUGAAAGCAACAAACAAGAGAAAGAUUUCAAACAGGCAGUGAACACAAAACCUCCUGCUGUAAACAAAUGAAACUAAACAGAUGACUGGUGAUAAUUAACGAGAUUCUCAAGCAGUCAGUUUUCAAGUGUCAGCAAUGCUUUGGCUAUAGAGGUCACACCGAAACAUUCAAAAACCAAUGAAGUUGUACACAAUAACUGUUGCUACUGAGAUGAAGCAUGACUGAUCAUCAUGCCAGAUAAUAUGGUUGAUUUGAACUUUUAUAAACCUUUAUUUAUCUAGGAUAAAUUCACUGAAAGCAAUCCUCCUAGUAACCUGGUUCUAGGUAUUGCAGACACUUAAAUAUGGCUCAACUCAAAUAUUAAUAUUUAAAAAUACAUUAAUUAAAGUGCAAGUUUAAAAUAAAUGUGGAUGCAAAUGCCAACUGUCUUUAUUAUUGUGUAAAAUGCAUGGCUGUUUUCUUUUACUGUCAUAUAUGUUGGGGCUUAUUUUGACUCCAUUUCCAUACAAUAUGAACACUGAAUACCCAGUAUGUAGCUGCUUACACAGCGUCUGUGGGAUAUUUUAUAUGUGUAUGGGACAUAUAUAAUAACAUUAUGUUUUCAUGAACCUGACUCGUGUUGUACUGUUGAAUUUUCAGUAAACUCCAUUCUAUUGGAA
Long non-coding RNA from Eleginops maclovinus (Patagonian blennie), 3641 nucleotides. RefSeq lists it as uncharacterized. The record is from RefSeq and is a predicted model, not a curated record. NCBI's taxonomy places the organism in Eukaryota, Metazoa, Chordata, Actinopteri, Perciformes, Eleginopidae. The transcript has 4 exons.